GAUGAACGCUGGCGGCGUGCCUAAUACAUGCAAGUCGAGCGAACGGACGAGAAGCUUGCUUUUCUGAUGUUAGCGGCGGACGGGUGAGUAACACGUGGAUAACCUACCUAUAAGACUGGGAUAACUUCGGGAAACCGGAGCUAAUACCGGAUAAUAUUUUGAACCGCAUGGUUCAAAAGUGAAAGACGGUCUUGCUGUCACUUAUAGAUGGAUCCGCGCUGCAUUAGCUAGUUGGUAAGGUAACGGCUUACCAAGGCAACGAUGCAUAGCCGACCUGAGAGGGUGAUCGGCCACACUGGAACUGAGACACGGUCCAGACUCCUACGGGAGGCAGCAGUAGGGAAUCUUCCGCAAUGGGCGAAAGCCUGACGGGGCAACGCCGCGUGAGUGAUGAAGGUCUUCGGAUCGUAAAACUCUGUUAUUAGGGAAGAACAUAUGUGUAAGUAACUGUGCACAUCUUGACGGUACCUAAUCAGAAAGCCACGGCUAACUACGUGCCAGCAGCCGCGGUAAUACGUAGGUGGCAAGCGUUAUCCGGAAUUAUUGGGCGUAAAGCGCGCGUAGGCGGUUUUUUAAGUCUGAUGUGAAAGCCCACGGCUCAACCGUGGAGGGUCAUUGGAAACUGGAAAACUUGAGUGCAGAAGAGGAAAGUGGAAUUCCAUGUGUAGCGGUGAAAUGCGCAGAGAUGUGGAGGAACACCAGUGGCGAAGGCGACUUUCUGGUCUGUAACUGACGCUGAUGUGCGAAAGCGUGGGGAUCAAACAGGAUUAGAUACCCUGGUAGUCCACGCCGUAAACGAUGAGUGCUAAGUGUUAGGGGGUUUCCGCCCCUUAGUGCUGCAGCUAACGCAUUAAGCACUCCGCCUGGGGAGUACGACCGCAAGGUUGAAACUCAAAGGAAUUGACGGGGGCCCGCACAAGCGGUGGAGCAUGUGGUUUAAUUCGAAGCAACGCGAAGAACCUUACCAAAUCUUGACAUCCUUUGACAACUCUAGAGAUAGAGCCUUCCCCUUCGGGGGACAAAGUGACAGGUGGUGCAUGGUUGUCGUCAGCUCGUGUCGUGAGAUGUUGGGUUAAGUCCCGCAACGAGCGCAACCCUUAAGCUUAGUUGCCAUCAUUAAGUUGGGCACUCUAAGUUGACUGCCGGUGACAAACCGGAGGAAGGUGGGGAUGACGUCAAAUCAUCAUGCCCCUUAUGAUUUGGGCUACACACGUGCUACAAUGGACAAUACAAAGGGCAGCGAAACCGCGAGGUCAAGCAAAUCCCAUAAAGUUGUUCUCAGUUCGGAUUGUAGUCUGCAACUCGACUACAUGAAGCUGGAAUCGCUAGUAAUCGUAGAUCAGCAUGCUACGGUGAAUACGUUCCCGGGUCU
Molecule: ribosomal RNA, 1372 nt
Filed under: uncultured bacterium
Lineage: Bacteria
Description: bacterial SSU rRNA
Rfam family: Bacterial small subunit ribosomal RNA
Source: RNAcentral